This 244-nucleotide unclassified non-coding RNA is filed under the name plant metagenome. RNAcentral's name for it is "partial contains small subunit ribosomal RNA, internal transcribed spacer 1, and 5.8S ribosomal RNA". The record is from RNAcentral.
UCUCCGUUGGUGAACCAGCGGAGGGAUCAUUACCGAGUUUACAACUCCCAAACCCAAUGUGAACCAUACCAAACUGUUGCCUCGGCGGGGUCACGCCCCGGGUGCGUCGCAGCCCCGGAACCAGGCGCCCGCCGGAGGGACCAACCAAACUCUUUCUGUAGUCCCCUCGCGGACGUUAUUUUUACAGCUCUGAGCAAAAAUUCAAAAUGAAUCAAAACUUUCAACAGCGGAUCUCUUGGUUCUG